CGUGUAGGCGGUAAUGUAAGUCAGACGUGAAAUCCUUUGGCUCAACUGAAGAACUGCGUCUGAAACUGCAUGACUAGAGUGCAGAAGAGGGAAACGGAAUUCCAGGUGUAGAGGUGAAAUUCGUAGAUAUCUGGAGGAACACCGGUGGCGAAGGCGGUUUCCUGGUCUGACACUGACGCUGAGGCGCGAAAGCGUGGGGAGCAAACAGGAUUAGAUACCCUGGUAGUCCACGCCGUAAACGGUGGGUACUGGGUGUGGGAGGUGUAAUGCCUUCUGUGCCGAAGCUAACGCGUUAAGUACCCCGCCUGGGGAGUACGGCCGCAAGGUUGAA
Molecule: ribosomal RNA, 331 nt
Filed under: uncultured bacterium
Lineage: Bacteria
Description: bacterial SSU rRNA
Rfam family: Bacterial small subunit ribosomal RNA
Source: RNAcentral